AGGUCAAGUGAAGAAGGGCGCACGGUGAAUGCCUUGGCACUGGAAGCCGAUGAAGGACGCGACUAACCGCGAAAGUCUUCGGGGAGCCGUAAGUAGGCUUUGAUCCGGAGGUCUCCGAAUGGGGGAACCCAGCAUGUGCAGACAUGCUAUCCUUAAGUGAAUACAUAGCUUAAGGAGGGAACACGCAGUGAACUGAAACAUCUAAGUAGCUGCAGGAAGAGAAAGAAAUAUCGAUUUCCCAAGUAGCGGCGAGCGAACAGGAAAGAGCCCAAACCGGCAGAUUUAUCUGCCGGGGUUGUAGGACUGAGACAUGGCACUUCAGAGGAUAGCAGAAGCGUUUGGGAAAGCGCGCCAGAGAGGGUGAGAGCCCCGUAAGCGAAAUCCAAAGAAGGCCUAUCAGUAUCCUGAGUAGGGCGGGACACGUGAAAUCCCGUUUGAAUCCGCGAGGACCAUCUCGCAAGGCUAAAUACU
Molecule: ribosomal RNA, 471 nt
Filed under: Lactobacillus delbrueckii subsp. bulgaricus
Lineage: Bacteria; Bacillati; Bacillota; Bacilli; Lactobacillales; Lactobacillaceae
Description: partial 23S ribosomal RNA
Rfam family: Bacterial large subunit ribosomal RNA
Source: RNAcentral